RNAcentral lists this ribosomal RNA (376 nucleotides) under uncultured bacterium. RNAcentral's name for it is "bacterial SSU rRNA". It matches the Rfam family "Bacterial small subunit ribosomal RNA", at positions 521 to 896 of the family's 1533-position model. The record is from RNAcentral.
UAAUACAGAGGGUGCAAGCGUUAAUCGGAAUUACUGGGCGUAAAGCGAGCGUAGUCGGUUAUUUAAGUCGGGUGUGAAAGCCCCGGGCUCAACCUGGGAAUUGCAUUCGAUACUGGAUAGCUAGAGUUCGGCAGAGGGAAGCGGAAUUUCCGGUGUAGCGGUGAAAUGCGUAGAUAUCGGAAGGAACAUCAGUGGCGAAAGCGGCUUCCUGGACCAGAACUGACGAUCAGGCUCGAAAGCGUGGGGAGCAAACAGGAUUAGAUACCCUGGUAGUCCACGCCAUAAACGAUGACAACUAGACGUUGGGCGGGUAAGCCGCACAGUGUCGCAGCUAACGCGUUAAGUUGUCCGCCUGGGGAGUACGGCCGCAAGGUUG